UACACCACUAUUAAGCAAUUCUAUGCCUACUAUAGAAAAUUUUAUGUUAAAACUAGUAACAAGAAGCUAUACUUCUCUUAAAUGCAAACACACAUCAAACUGGACAAACCAUCGAUAAAUAACAUUUAUACAUUUCUAGUAGUAACCAAACAAGAAAAUUCUACUUCCCUUAAUGUUAACCUAACACAAGAGCAUUACAAGAAAGAUUAAAAGAAAAAGAAGGAACUCGGCAAACAUUGACCCCGCCUGUUUACCAAAAACAUCGCCUCUUGCCUCAUAUAAGAGGUCCAGCCUUGCCCAGUGACACUGUUCAACGGCCGCGGUAUCCUAACCGUGCGAAGGUAGCGUAAUCACUUGUUCUUUAAAUGAGGACUAGUAUGAAAGGCAUCACGAGAGUCAUACUGUCUCCUUUCUCUAAUCAGUGAAACUAAUCCCCCCGUGAAGAAGCGAGGAUAAAAAUAUAAGACGAGAAGACCCUAUGGAGCUUUAAACAAAUGAUACUUACCAACCUUUAUUAAAUUUCAGAAAAAUUUCCCUAUUUUGGUAUUAUAAUUAUUAGUUUUUGGUUGGGGUGACCACGGAAUAAAAAACAACUUCCGCAAUGAAAACACUUCACUUAGUUAAGGACUACAAUCCUAUUCAUCAACAAAUUGACAUUAUUGACCCAACUCGUUGAUCAAUGAACCAAGUUACCCUAGGGAUAACAGCGCAAUCCACUUCAAGAGCUCCUAUCGACAAGUGGGUUUACGACCUCGAUGUUGGAUCAGGGUGUCCAAGUGGUGUAGCCGCUACUAAAGGUUCGUUUGUUCAACGAUU
RNAcentral lists this ribosomal RNA (816 nucleotides) under Adenomera lutzi (Lutz's thin-toed frog). RNAcentral describes it as "partial 16S ribosomal RNA". It matches the Rfam family "Bacterial large subunit ribosomal RNA", at positions 1437 to 2589 of the family's 2925-position model. The record is from RNAcentral. Lineage: Eukaryota; Metazoa; Chordata; Amphibia; Anura; Leptodactylidae.